Molecule: small RNA, 138 nt
Filed under: unclassified sequences
Description: LOOT RNA
Rfam family: LOOT RNA
About the family: Latescibacteria, OD1/Parcubacteria, OP11, TM7.
Source: Rfam by way of RNAcentral
AGCCGUAUUCUUAUUAAAGGCAUUAUAAAGUCUCUAAAAGCACGGCUCAAAACCCCAACCACGAUAUUAAGCUCCUCAUUGAGCACUCGUGGUUGGGUUUAUGCCCGUAAGGGCAUAAGGUAGCCCGAAAGGGCUAUC